AUGAAUCUUGAAGACGGUUCGCCACCUCUGUCCAAUCAUGUUGGGGGGCCUUCCCAGCAUACCUAUAUUUUGGCCCGGGGGGCAACUCUGUAUACGCAAAUGAAGAAAAGAGUUGAGGAGAAAGUACAAGCAAUUGGAUCUGAAAUUCCUAUCUAUGUCAAAAAGAUGACUGAAAUCUCUAUUAUUGGCAGCAAGGGCAAGGGUAGAGGAGGCCGAACAUAUGUUGUGACCUUCUGCCGCGAAUUUGCUUCGGCAUGGCUCCCCACCCAGAAAACAAAAAUUUACCUUCAGGUAGUGGGCAAAACGAAGCCAUGGCGUACCAAGUUCGAUGUUGGACGACGUGGUGACAGAAUGAGUUGGAUUCACAACGGGUGGGAGGAAUUUGUUUGGGACAAUGGCCUGAAGGUAGGGGAUGUGUGUCUCUUUGAAGCAAAAAAGAAGAAUGGCCAGAUGUUGAUUGUCCAUAUGAUUCGGUCGGAAAUAGAGGUGUAG
RNAcentral lists this ribosomal RNA (492 nucleotides) under Triticum aestivum (bread wheat). RNAcentral's name for it is "partial small subunit ribosomal RNA". The record is from RNAcentral. Lineage: Eukaryota; Viridiplantae; Streptophyta; Magnoliopsida; Poales; Poaceae.